CCUACGGGAGGCAGCAGUAGGGAAUCUUGCGCAAUGGGGGAAACCCUGACGCAGCAACGCCGCGUGAUCGAUGAAGCCCUUCGGGGUGUAAAGAUCUGUCAGUGGGGACGAAACCUGACGGUACCCACAGAGGAAGCACCGGCUAACUCCGUGCCAGCAGCCGCGGUAAUACGGGGGGUGCAAGCGUUGUCCGGAGUCAUUGGGCGUAAAGAGUUCGUAGGUGGGACGUUAAGUCUGGUGUUAAAGGCGGAGGCUCAACUGCCGUAGUGCAUUGGAUACUGGCGGUCUUGAGUGCGGUAGAGGUGAGGGGAAUUCGUGGUGUAGCGGUGAAAUGCGUAGAUAUCAGGAGGAACAUCGGUGGCGUAAGCGCUUUACUGGGCCGUAAUUGACACUGAGGAACGAAAGCCGGGGUAGCAAAUGGGAUUAGAUACCCGAGUAGUC
Molecule: ribosomal RNA, 441 nt
Filed under: uncultured bacterium
Lineage: Bacteria
Description: partial 16S ribosomal RNA
Rfam family: Bacterial small subunit ribosomal RNA
Source: RNAcentral